RNAcentral lists this ribosomal RNA (492 nucleotides) under uncultured bacterium. RNAcentral describes it as "partial 16S ribosomal RNA". It matches the Rfam family "Bacterial small subunit ribosomal RNA", at positions 29 to 507 of the family's 1533-position model. The record is from RNAcentral.
AGUGAACGCUGGCGGUAGGCCUAACACAUGCAAGUCGAACGGCAGCACAGUAAGAGCUUGCUCUUACGGGUGGCGAGUGGCGGACGGGUGAGGAAUACAUCGGAAUCUACUUUUUCGUGGGGGAUAACGUAGGGAAACUUACGCUAAUACCACAUACGACCUACGGGUGAAAGCAGGGGAUCUUCGGACCUUGCGCGAUUGAAUGAGCCGAUGUCGGAUUAGCUAGUUGGCGGGGUAAAGGCCCACCAAGGCGACGAUCCGUAGCUGGUCUGAGAGGAUGACCAGCCACACUGGAACUGAGGCACCGUCCAGACUCCUACGGGAGGCAGCAGUGGGGAGUUUUGGACAAUGGGCGCAAGCCUGAUCCAGCCAUACCGCGUGAGUGAAGAAGGCCUUUGGGUUGUAAAACUCUUUUGUUGGGAAAGAAAAGCAGCAGGUUAAUACCCCGCUGUUCUGACGGUACCGAAAGAAUAAGCACCGGCUAACUUCGUG